GAGGGUAUAGCUCAGUGGUAGAGCACAUGCUCCAGCAUGCAUGAGGUCCUGGGUUCAAUCCCCAGUACUUCCU
Molecule: transfer RNA, 73 nt
Filed under: Camelus bactrianus (Bactrian camel)
Lineage: Eukaryota; Metazoa; Chordata; Mammalia; Artiodactyla; Camelidae
Also listed under: 3 other names
Rfam family: tRNA
About the family: Transfer RNA (tRNA) molecules are approximately 80 nucleotides in length.
Source: Rfam by way of RNAcentral